RNAcentral lists this long non-coding RNA (1678 nucleotides) under Glycine max (soybean). Its description in RNAcentral is "long non-coding RNA (GMAX_LNC003602)". Lineage: Eukaryota; Viridiplantae; Streptophyta; Magnoliopsida; Fabales; Fabaceae. The record is from RNAcentral.
CAAGAAUCACUUUUGGGCUUACUUUGGAUGGGCUUGGAAAGGCUAAAAAUGAGUAGGUUUUCAACUCCAAAGAUACAAAACCCAAGUUUAUGUUAAUGCUUGCUUAUCUUGUGAUCCUAUCAAGCUCUCAUCAUAGAAAUAGAAUAGAUUCAACCAUAUCAUCAGAUAAUUGAACAAGUUUGACUAACAAAAUUGUAAAAUAAAUAUUAACUAAACUGCAGUACAUAUAAUCAUUGACAAUUGAUCACCAACAAUUUUAUUUUAUCUGCAACUUUAAUUAGAAGCCAGUAGACAAUUACAAUGAAAAAUUAAAACUAAAACAAAAGAGAGAGUACUACUAAUUUUGAGAUACUGUUAUUAUUACAGUGUCUAACCGUAUGCAUGAGUUACUUAUUUUGUGUGGGAUUUGAUUUGCUUGGGGGUAUUGCUCGGAAACAUGACUCCACCACCUGCUUUGAAGGAUCUUUUCUAUGACCCCGCAAAUCUUUCAGAGCUUGAUGAGAAGAUGAUUUCACUCUGAAUGUCAAAGAGUAAUUAACCUCAGUUGAGGACACCACUAGUAACAGUGUGAAAGCCAGAGCUGCCAGUAAGGACCAGACCUUCAUUUUAGUGGAGGAUCCUGUGAAGUGUUUCUGUGGCAUUAAUUGAGAGCCUUCAAGAAAAUGAGGGUCAAGUGAAAUCAAUCAGUGUUCAUUUAUUCUUCUUUUUGGGUACAAUCUGAGUGAAAGUGAAAUGGUAAAUAUCUGAAAAUUGGGAUUUGAUGCCAUUGGGAUCACGUGCUGUCACUGUUGCAUGUUGUACUGUCUUAGCCUUGGGAUUUGGUGAAAAACAGAAAAAAUGGGACAGAAAAUUCAGAGAGGUCAUGUGAUCAGCCACGUGAUGUUAAUGUGUAUUUCACAGAACUAUUUAGUGUAUACUGUAAUUGAUUCCACUGUAUUAUCACCAUAUAUUUAGAGUGAGUUUGGAUUGCGGAUACCAAUCUCUCUGUUUGUGCUUAACCUCUAUUUUCAGGAAACAUCAUCUUCUGUGUUUCUACCUUAAAGUUGUGUCAUACUUUGUCCUGUAAUAAAAUCGCUAGAGAUACAAACACGCACUUAGUGGAUAUUUGGUUCCAUUGUGACACCAAUAAAAUCAAUUUUUUAUAGUAAAAAUCUUGAAGCUACAAAGAUAAAUGAAAAAUAAUUUAUUCUCUUUCACCACCUUAUGGAACCAAGUACAUUAUUAAGCUUUAACUUGUUUAAAAGGUUGCUAAGAAAGUUGGUCUAAUUGGUAUGAAAAUGACUCUGACAACAACACGAAUUUAAAUUCUAUUGUCAAUACGAGAACUUGUUAAUAAAUAAUAGUAAUAUAUAAGUGUAUAUUUUUAUAAGUACUUUUUGAGUCUUAUAACUUACUUUAAUCUUAAUAAAUCUUGAGAUCUAAUUCACCUUAAUUUUUAUUAAUCCAUACUUACUACUUACUUGGAAGGUGAUAUGGUGAUAGGAUUGAACCAAACACUAUUAUUAGAGUUAGGCAACAGCUAAAGUGAAUCUUGGAUGUUCAUACCUGGUUCCUUCCUUGUUAGGGCAAGCUUGACACAGGCUCAGUGAAGAAACAUGAUUUCCAUCACUCCAAAAAGGUGCAAGAGAAGUAGUUGGGUGCUGCAAUUAUUGAGAGGACAUUUAAGCAUAUAGUAAAG